AGAGUUUGAUCCUGGCUCAGAACGAACGCUGGCGGCAUGCCUAACACAUGCAAGUCGAACGCGUGGCUUCGGCCACGAGUGGCGCACGGGUGAGUAGCGCGUGGGAACCUGCCCUGUUGUGGGGGAUAACCGAGGGAAACUUCGGCUAAUACCGCAUACGCCCUUCGGGGGAAAGAUUUAUCGCAGCAGGAGGGGCCCGCGUCGGAUUAGCUAGUUGGUGAGGUAACGGCUCACCAAGGCUAUGAUCCGUAGCUGGUCUGAGAGGAUGAUCAGCCACACUGGGACUGAGACACGGCCCAGACUCCUACGGGAGGCAGCAGUGGGGAAUAUUGGACAAUGGGCGCAAGCCUGAUCCAGCAAUGCCGCGUGAGUGAUGAAGGCCUUAGGGUUGUAAAGCUCUUUCGCACGCGACGAUGAUGACGGUAGCGUGAGAAGAAGCCCCGGCUAACUUCGUGCCAGCAGCCGCGGUAAUACGAAGGGGGCGAGCGUUGUUCGGAAUUACUGGGCGUAAAGGGCGCGCAGGCGGCCAUAGAAGUCAGGCGUGAAAGCCCCGGGCUUAACCUGGGAAAUGCGUUUGAGACUCUAAGGCUUGAGUUCGGGAGAGGUGAGUGGAAUUCCCAGUGUAGAGGUGAAAUUCGUAGAUAUUGGGAAGAACACCGGUGGCGAAGGCGGCUCACUGGACCGAUACUGACGCUGAGGCGCGAAAGCGUGGGGAGCAAACAGGAUUAGAUACCCUAGUAGUCC
RNAcentral lists this ribosomal RNA (744 nucleotides) under uncultured bacterium. Its description in RNAcentral is "bacterial SSU rRNA". It matches the Rfam family "Bacterial small subunit ribosomal RNA", at positions 8 to 796 of the family's 1533-position model. The record is from RNAcentral.